Molecule: ribosomal RNA, 429 nt
Filed under: uncultured bacterium
Lineage: Bacteria
Description: bacterial SSU rRNA
Rfam family: Bacterial small subunit ribosomal RNA
Source: RNAcentral
UGGGGAAUUUUGGACAAUGGGGGCAACCCUGAUCCAGCCAUUCCGCGUGAGUGAAGAAGGCCUUCGGGUUGUAAAGCUCUUUCGGUGGGGACGAAAAGGCGGGCUCUAACAGAGCCUGUUCAUGACGGUACCCGAAGAAGAAGCACCGGCUAACUACGUGCCAGCAGCCGCGGUAAUACGUAGGGUGCGAGCGUUAAUCGGAAUUACUGGGCGUAAAGGGUGCGCAGGUGGUUAUUUAAGACAGAUGUGAAAUCCCCGGGCUCAACCUGGGAACUGCGUUUGUGACUGGAUAGCUAGAGUGCGGCAGAGGGGGGUGGAAUUCCACGUGUAGCAGUGAAAUGCGUAGAGAUGUGGAGGAACACCGAUGGCGAAGGCAGCCCCCUGGGCCAGCACUGACGCUCAUGCACGAAAGCGUGGGGAGCAAACAGG